This 496-nucleotide ribosomal RNA is filed under the name uncultured bacterium. RNAcentral describes it as "partial 16S ribosomal RNA". It matches the Rfam family "Bacterial small subunit ribosomal RNA", at positions 29 to 507 of the family's 1533-position model. The record is from RNAcentral.
AUGAACGCUGGCGGCGUGCCUAAUACAUGCAAGUCGAGCGAACGGACGAGAAGCUUGCUUCUCUGAUGUUAGCGGCGGACGGGUGAGUAACACGUGGAUACCCUACCUAUAAGCCUGGGAUAACUUCGGGAAACCGGAGCUAAUACCGGAUAAUAUUUUGAACCGCCUGGUUCAAAAGUGAAAGACGGUCUUGCUGUCACUUAUAGCUGGAUCCGCGCUGCAUUAGCUAGUUGGUAAGGUAACGGCUUACCAAGGCAACGAUGCAUAGCCGACCUGAGAGGGUGAGCGGCCACACUGGAACUGAGACACGGUCCAGACUCCUACGGGAGGAAGCAGUAGGGAAUCUUCCGCAAUGGGCGAAAGCCUGACGGAGCAACGCCGCGUGAGUGAUGAAGGUCUUCGGAUCGUAAAACUCUGUUAUUAGGGAAGAACAUAUGUGUAAGUAACUGUGCACAUCUUGACGGUACCUAAUCAGAAAGCCACGGCUAACUACGUG